AGUUGCCAUCAGGUAAUGCUGGGAACUCUAAACAGACUGCUGGUGAAAGCCAGAGGAAGGUGGGGAUGACGUCAAGUCAGUAUGGUCCUUAUGCCCUGGGCUGCACACGUGCUACAAUGGCUGGUACAGAAGGAAGCAAUACCGCGAGGUGGAGCAAAUCCCCAAAACCAGCCCCAGUUCGGAUUGAAGUCUGAAAUUCGACUUCAUGAAGUUGGAAUCGCUAGUAAAGGCGUAUCAGCUACGACGCCUUGAAUACGUUCCCGGGCCUUGUACACACCGCCCGUCACAUCAUGGAGGUCUGUUGCACCCGAAGUCGCUGAUCUAACCAUUUAUUUGGAGGAAGGCGCCGAAGGUGUGGCCGGUAACUAGGAUGAAGUCGUAACAAGGUAACCUUAAA
Molecule: ribosomal RNA, 397 nt
Filed under: uncultured bacterium
Lineage: Bacteria
Description: bacterial SSU rRNA
Rfam family: Bacterial small subunit ribosomal RNA
Source: RNAcentral